Molecule: ribosomal RNA, 253 nt
Filed under: uncultured bacterium
Lineage: Bacteria
Description: partial 16S ribosomal RNA
Rfam family: Bacterial small subunit ribosomal RNA
Source: RNAcentral
UACGUAGGGGGCUAGCGUUGUCCGGAUUUAUUGGGCGUAAAGAGCGUGUAGGCGGCCUGGUAGGUCUGCUGUGAAAACUCGAGGCUCAACCUCGAGAUGUCGGCGGAAACCAUCUGGCUAGAGUCCGGAAGAGGAGAGUGGAAUUCCUGGUGUAGCGGUGAAAUGCGCAGAUAUCAGGAAGAACACCUAUGGCGAAGGCAGCUCUCUGGGACGGUACUGACGCUGAGACGCGAAAGCGCGGGGAGCGAACGGG